GAGAGAGUUCAAGAGUACGUGAAACCGUUCAGGGGUAAACGGGAGACGUCCUGAAUUCGAACGGGAGGUACCCCCUUAAAUGGGGGGCCUUUGGGAUUCAGCCGUGCCACGGGGGGGUUUGUCCGACUCCCCGCCAGACGGCGCCGGACGACCGCUCGUGACGCUGACUCGCGAUGCGGACCCGAUCCCGGAGGCCGCUCGGCGGUGUGAUGUUGUGCCCCAAUCACCCGGGCGGUGCACUUCCCCCCCAGUAGAAGCGUCGCGACCCGUUGGGCCGCCNGCCACAGGGCCCGGGGAGGCAGGCCGUUUCGUGGUCCCGACUAGUUCGGGUCCCGGGCGGACCCCUGGUGUUCCCGGCCGGCGCCCGACGGUAUAACAGAGGAGGUGGUCCGCANAACGGAUGCGUCCGGGCCGGCNACCGCGCGCGUGCGCCCGGGGUCGAGGUGCUAGCCACCUUCCCCGACGCUUCGCGCGCGUGUCCGUCGAGCUCCCUCGGACAGGACCCUGCCUUCCGGUCGCGCGACGCACCGACCUUCGGACG
RNAcentral lists this ribosomal RNA (541 nucleotides) under Phanocloidea lobulatipes. RNAcentral describes it as "partial 28S ribosomal RNA". Lineage: Eukaryota; Metazoa; Arthropoda; Insecta; Phasmatodea; Diapheromeridae. The record is from RNAcentral.